This 313-nucleotide ribosomal RNA is filed under the name Macrostylis sp. ML08. RNAcentral's name for it is "partial 16S ribosomal RNA". The record is from RNAcentral. Lineage: Eukaryota; Metazoa; Arthropoda; Malacostraca; Isopoda; Macrostylidae.
AGAACAACUCUUAAACUUUUUUAGCCUAUUCUUAGAAAUUAAUAUCUGCAUCAAAAAGUGCAGCUUAGUUGAAGGGACGAUAAGACCCUAUAAAGCUUUAUCAUUUUCUCUUUAAGUUUUGAAUAAAAAAAUUGUGGGGGGGUGAUUGAACUGGGGCGGUAUCUAAUACUCUUUAAAAAAGGUAACACGUAAAGUGAAAAGCUUUAUCCUAAAUGGAAUAAAAGUUACUUUAGGGAUAACAGCGCAAUUUCUUAAGGUGGUAACAUUUUAUGAAGACUUGCGACCUCGAUGUUGAAUUGAGGGGCCAGGCCCC